Molecule: small nuclear RNA, 109 nt
Organism: Schistocerca piceifrons (Central American locust)
Lineage: Eukaryota; Metazoa; Arthropoda; Insecta; Orthoptera; Acrididae
Product: U4atac minor spliceosomal RNA
Exons: 1
Source: RefSeq, a predicted model, not a curated record
CCAAUCCUUGUCUGGGAGAGCAAAAUGCGCAAUGAACGUCUAGUGAGGGCAUUGCUGCUAACACCCCCCACACUCAUUUAACAACCCAUCUUCUAGAAAUUUUGCAACG